CUUUAUGGUGAUGACAUAGGUUAUAGUUUCUCUGACUAUCAUGCAUCUGAGUCAUGACCUAUUGCCAAAGCUAUGAUCAAAACUGGGAAGCUGCUGUCUAGAGGUUCUGUUAUAAAAACUGAUGAGAGGCCUAAGAAGGAAAGCAGGAUGCUGAAGUUUGGAGAAUAACAAGUUGAGUGGACUCCAGGGA
This is a non-coding RNA of Phoenix dactylifera (date palm), 190 nucleotides long. NCBI's taxonomy places the organism in Eukaryota, Viridiplantae, Streptophyta, Magnoliopsida, Arecales, Arecaceae. The record is from RefSeq and is a predicted model, not a curated record.